Molecule: ribosomal RNA, 423 nt
Filed under: uncultured bacterium
Lineage: Bacteria
Description: partial 16S ribosomal RNA
Rfam family: Bacterial small subunit ribosomal RNA
Source: RNAcentral
GAAUCUUCCUCAAUGGACGAAAGUCUGCUGGAGCACUGCCGCUGGAGUGAAGACAGUCUUCGGAUUGUAAAGCACAUUACGUUGGGAGGAAGGGCAGUAAGAGAAUACCUUGCUGUUUUGACGUUACCGACAGAAUAAGCACCGUCUACCCCUAUGCCAGCCGCCGCGGUAUUACAGAGGGUGGAAGCGUUAAUCGGAAUUACUGGGCGUAAAGCGCGCGUAGGUGGUUCGUUAAGUUGGAUGUGGAAUCCACGGGCUCAACCUGGGAACUGCAUCCAAAACUGGCGAGCUAGAGUAGGGCAGACGGUAGUGGAACUUCCUGUGUAGCGGUGAAAUGCGUAGAUAUAGGAAGGAACACCAGUGGCGAAGGCGACCACCUGGGCUCAUACUGACACUGAGGUGCGAAAGCGUGGGGAGCAAACA